This 492-nucleotide ribosomal RNA is filed under the name uncultured bacterium. Its description in RNAcentral is "partial 16S ribosomal RNA". It matches the Rfam family "Bacterial small subunit ribosomal RNA", at positions 29 to 507 of the family's 1533-position model. The record is from RNAcentral.
AGCGAACGCUGGCGGUAGGCCUAACACAUGCAAGUCGAACGGCAGCACAGUAAGAGCUUGCUCUUACGGGUGGCGAGUGGCGGACGGGUGAGGAAUACAUCGGAAUCUACUUUUUCGUGGGGGAUAACGUAGGGAAACGUACGCUAAUACCGCAUACGACCUACGGGUGAAAGCAGGGGAUCUUCGGACCUUGCGCGAUUGAAUGAGCCGAUGUCGGAUUAGCUAGUUGGCGGGGUAAAGGCCCACCAAGGCGACGAUCCGUAGCUGGUCUGAGAGGAUGAUCAGCCACACUGGCACUGAGACACGGUCCAGACUCCUACGGGAGGCAGCAGUGGGGAAUAUUGGACAAUGGGCGCAAGCCUGAUCCAGCCAUACCGCGUGGGUGAAGAAGGCCUUCGGGUUGUAAAGCCCUUUUGUUGGGAGAGAAAAGCAGCAGGUUAAUACCCCGCUGUUCUGACGGUACCCAAAGAAUAAGCACCGGCUAACUUCGUG